GUUUGGGUUUCUUGAUCUCGAUCACUGAUUAUUACAAAUUCGUUUGUUGAGAAAACAACGCGUAUUUUUACUGGAUUUUGAACUCUAGCGACGUCUUCUCGUUGAUCACAAUCGCCGCCUCUCUGCUUCUUGGUUACAGUUGUCUGAUUCUUUUCAAUUAGAUUAACUUCUACUACGUUAAAUCGCUCGCGAACUGAAUGAACUUUCUAUAAUAAGUCUAAUAAAUUACUAUUCUUGUCGACACAAUUACGGC
Paramuricea clavata is the source of this 253-nucleotide non-coding RNA. NCBI's taxonomy places the organism in Eukaryota, Metazoa, Cnidaria, Anthozoa, Malacalcyonacea, Plexauridae. The record is from the annotation of a GenBank genome assembly.